CAAUGUGGCGUUUACGCGCCGCAGGCUCGAUAUUUCCGUCGCCGUCAUUUCGGACGUCGCGACCCGUUUGGUGUCGGCCUGAGGAGACGUGCGAAAGUUCGUCGACGCGUCGGACUCGUUUCGGCGCGUCGACGAGUGCGCGUUUUAUUCGCUGACUGACUCGCCAGACGGUAUGCAACGGUGGUCGCGGCGGCCUUUGCGCCGCCGUCGAUGCCGGUCUGCGACGAAUCUUCGAGUCUCUUUCCGACCCGUCUUGAAACACGGACCAAGGAGUCUAACAUGCGCGCGAGUCGCGGGGUAUCGAGCGGCCGGUGUUCGCAUCGGCCGUCCGUUAUAAUACGAAACCCGUCUCGUUUUACGAAAGGCGCAAUGAAAGUGAAUUUUGGGGAAGAUGACGUUACCGAGUUCACGUUUCAUAUUCUGAA
This 425-nucleotide ribosomal RNA is filed under the name Paracoccus marginatus. Its description in RNAcentral is "partial large subunit ribosomal RNA". The record is from RNAcentral. Lineage: Eukaryota; Metazoa; Arthropoda; Insecta; Hemiptera; Pseudococcidae.